GAUGAACGCUGGCGGCGUGCUUAACACAUGCAAGUCGAACGAUGAAGCCCAGCUUGCUGGGUGGAGUAGUGGCGAACGGGUGAGUAACACGUGAGUAACCUGCCCUUAACUCUGGGAUAAGCCUGGGAAACUGGGUCUAAUACCGGAUAGGAGCGCCUACCGCAUGGUGGGUGUUGGAAAGAUUUAUCGGUUUUGGAUGGACUCGCGGCCUAUCAGCUUGUUGGUGAGGUAAUGGCUCACCAAGGCGACGACGGGUAGCCGGCCUGAGAGGGUGACCGGCCCCACUGGGACUGAGACACGGCCCAGACUCCUACGGGAGGCAGCAGUGGAGAAUAUUGCACAAUGGGCGAAAGCCUGAUGCAGCGACGCCGCGUGAGGGAUGACGGCCUUCGGGUUGUAAACCUCUUUCAGUAGGGAAGAAGCGAAAGUGACGGUACCUGCAGAAGAAGCACCGGCUAACUACGUG
This 466-nucleotide ribosomal RNA is filed under the name uncultured bacterium. Its description in RNAcentral is "partial 16S ribosomal RNA". It matches the Rfam family "Bacterial small subunit ribosomal RNA", at positions 28 to 507 of the family's 1533-position model. The record is from RNAcentral.